RNAcentral lists this unclassified non-coding RNA (286 nucleotides) under uncultured fungus. RNAcentral describes it as "sequence contains ITS1". The stretch from base 1 to 104 matches the Rfam family "5.8S ribosomal RNA", at positions 49 to 154 of the family's 154-position model. The record is from RNAcentral. Lineage: Eukaryota; Fungi.
UGAAAUGCGAUAACUAUUGUGAAUUGCAUUACUUUGUGAAUCAUUGAGUCUUUGAACGCACCUUGCGCCUUUUGUAAUGAAAAGGCAUGCUUGUUUGAGAAUUGUAUCACUAUACAUUUUGUGUUUUGGGAAAUGAUUUAAUCUUUCCUCAAAGUGAUGAGUAUGAAUUAUGUUUGAUUAAUGUGGUGAAUAGCGAAAUGAUUCUAGCUUGAAACUACGUAUUUAUUCAUAAUCAUAAAACAUUAUCAACAAUCUCAAAUCAAGCAAGACUACCCGCUGAACUUAA